CUGGUGGCGGACGGCUGCUGCUGCGUCUCCUGGUCACCCAGGACGACUGGACCCAAAGCAGUCAACAAGCUGAGAUAAAACAGGAGCCGUGGCAGAUCCAUUGUCUCUGAGGAAAACCAACACCUCACGAGUGACGUCAGCGUGACCUUCCCUUCUACUGCUCUAAGAAGCCUGAAGACCUCACGGCUCACACCUACCGCUCUAAGCCCUCCAGCCACGCCACCAGCCGCCUUCAAGUCUGGACCUCCUCCAUCUACUACUAUCUUCAUCCCUGGAGAAACAAUAAACUCUUUCUCAUCAAAAUACUUACCUAUCUUCCUUCUGGGUUACAGCAUCUGGGUCCCUCCCGCCAUGAGCUCCAUGACAGACACACUGGACAGGUUGCCAAUCUGUCCCAGGGCAAUGGUUAUGUAUUAUGUGGUUAUAUAAAAAAACUUAAAAUCAGUAAAAAAAUAACAAAGAAAUAUUCUAGAAAUAUCCCUUGAGAAACUUAAAUACAGCAGCUGGACUCUUUUUCUUUUUUUUUCCGUUGGACUCAUUUUCUUGAUGUUUCACACCAGCCUGCUGUCCAGAUCUUUGCAACUUUUUGGUUGUUUGUGAUCUAUUCAAUGUGUUCCCUGGCUUCGCCCAACAGACCUGAAAGGCUUCUGUGACCCCCAAAGGGUUUAAAUUUGUUUAGAAGAUUGAUAGAUGAAUUGAUAAAAGCAUCAUUUUGAAUGA
Molecule: non-coding RNA, 720 nt
Organism: Oryzias latipes (Japanese medaka)
Lineage: Eukaryota; Metazoa; Chordata; Actinopteri; Beloniformes; Adrianichthyidae
Source: RefSeq, a predicted model, not a curated record